GAGACUAGCGCAUGCGCUUUAGCGAGGCAGUCUCGGGCGCCCAGCUGUCAGAGCUGUUAGCCUGCUUAAACAGAGGAAAAUGGUACAGGCAGAGCUGGUCUGGUAUCAGGAAAAAGGCUGCCUACGAUAAUCCACUGCAGGACCCUAAAAGUCUCGACCUUAGGGCCCCCUCGGACCGUCUCCAAGGUCGGGUCCCGCUGGAGAAGGAGGCAUUUCGAGAGUGUUGGAAACACCUUAUUUGUAGAAUCUACGAAGGGACAUUUUGGAACCCAUUGAGACCUAUAGUGAAACACUGAUUGUUUCACAAUGAAAACUGAAAACGUUAUCUAGGAAAAUGCUUUGCGUGUGUAGAUUCUACUCAGACAGGUUUGAAAUACUCUAAGACAUUUUGGAGCUCUUGGGGCCUAUAAUGAAGAAACGUAUAUCCUGCGAUGAAAACUUGAAACAAGCUACCUGUGAAAAUGCUUUGCAAUGUGUAGAUUCAUCUGACAGUUAAACCUUUGUUUUGAUUCAACAGGGGUUUGGGAACAUACUUUUUAUAUAACUUAUGAAUGGACAUUUCAGAGCCCAUUGAAGCCUAUACUGAAAAUCCAAAUAUCCUGCGAUAAAAACUAGGAGUAAGCUAUCUGUGAAAAUGCUUUGCGAGGUUUGGAUUAAUCUCACAGAUUUAAGCUGUUGCUUUGAUUUAGCAGGUUGGAAACACUCUUUUGUAAAAUCUACAAAGAAACAUUUUGGAGUCCAUUGAGGCCUAUAGUGAAAAACUGAAUAUUUCGCCUUGAAAACCAGAAACAAGCUAUCUGUGAAAAUGCUUUGUGAUGGAAGAUUUAUCUCACAGAGUUAAACGUUUGUAUUGAUUCAGCUGGCUGGCAACACUCUUUUUGUAAAAUCUACAAUGGGACAUUUCAGAGACCAUUGAAGUCUACAGAAAAAGACUGAAUAUCCCAUGAUUAAAACUAGAAACAAGCUAUCCAUCAAAA
This 977-nucleotide long non-coding RNA is filed under the name Homo sapiens (human). RNAcentral describes it as "long intergenic non-protein coding RNA 2002". The record is from RNAcentral. Lineage: Eukaryota; Metazoa; Chordata; Mammalia; Primates; Hominidae.